AUUACAGUAAAAUACUGUAAUUUGCAUUGCUUUCUGAGUAAUAUUGUUUGAGCGGGAACAUUUUACAGAAUAUUUUAGUAUUGCUGUAACCUAGCUGUAACUUGGCUGUAAUAUGCCAGGCAAUAAUACAGAAUUGCUGUAAACAGCGCGUCACCUGACAGACGACGUCACAACACAACUGCCGCAGCUCACUUACAGAUGUCUGAACGUCUCUCUCUGUGGAAAUCUGGAAGUUUGCUCUACAGUGUGGGCCACUUAUUUUUGCAGCCUGGGAAUGAGUUUUCUAUUGAGACUUCUUCCAGCAUCAGAAGUUGAAGUGGAGAGGGGAGAUUCAGUCUCUGCUGACUGAGAUGGAGAAUGACUCAAGAACCCUACAAGACCAAGAUCUGAUGGCGACUUCAGUUGUCCUGCUUUUGAUGGCCUUCUUCAGGGAGGCGAUGGAAUCCCUGUUCAUACUGACAGAUGUAAGUAUCUCAAACACAUCUAUUGUUUAUUUUGCCUACAAGGACAUGAAAAAGUUUGUACUCCCCCUGAGUUUUUGUGCAAUGACAAUAUUUUAAAUAUUUUUAUUAAGAUAGGAAAUUUAAAUAAUAAAUAAGCAGUGGAAAAGUAUUUUAAGAAAGAAAAAUAUCACUGACAAUAUUUGACAAGUUGUACUCCUUAUACUCAUGUUUUAUGUAUAGUAGCUACUUCAUAUUCUG
Long non-coding RNA from Carassius gibelio (silver crucian carp), 701 nucleotides. RefSeq lists it as uncharacterized. The transcript is spliced from 3 exons. The record is from RefSeq and is a predicted model, not a curated record. NCBI's taxonomy places the organism in Eukaryota, Metazoa, Chordata, Actinopteri, Cypriniformes, Cyprinidae.